AGGGCGCAGGGCGGAUGCCUUGGCACUGAGAGCCGAUGAAAGACGUGAUAAGCUGCGAUAAGCUUCGGGGAGGAGCAAAUAUCCUUUGAUCCGGAGAUCUCUGAAUGGGGAAACCCGGCUGUAUGGACUACAGUCAUCCAUAAGUGAAUCCAUAGCUUAUGGAAGGGAACCCGGGGAACUGAAACAUCUAAGUACCCGGAGGAAGAGAAAGAAACAUCGAUUCCGUAAGUAGCGGCGAGCGAACGCGGAAGAGCCCAAACCGUGAUGCGUGCAUCGCGGGGUUCGGACUGCAGAAGGGAUUCAGCAACGACAGGAGAACGGCUUUGGAACAGCCGGCCAGAGAGGGUGAGAGCCCCGUAUCCAAAGUCAGAGCUGACCUGGCAGGAUCCAGAGUACCACGGGACACGGGAAACCCUGUGGGAACGAGCGGAGACCACUCCGUAAGGCUAAAUACUACUCAGUGACCGAUAGCGUAUAGUACUGUGAAGGAAAGGUGAAAAGAACCCCGGGAGGGGAGUGAAAGAGAACCUGAAACCCUGUGUCUACAAGCUGUGGAAGUACUUCUUAGGUACGACCGCGUACUUUUUGUAGAACGGUCCGGCGAGCUGCGGGUACUGGCAAGGUUAAGUACUUAAGGUACGGAGCCGUAGGGAAACCAAGUCUUAAUAGGGCGAAUCAGUCAGUACGUGCAGGCCCGAAACCGGGUGACCUAUCCAUGUCCAGGUUGAAGCCGCCGUAAAAGGCGAUGGAGGACCGAACCCACAUCCGUUGAAAAGGGUGGGGAUGAGGUGUGGAUAGCGGAGAAAUUCCAAUCGAACCCGGAGAUAGCUGGUUCUCCUCGAAAUAGCUUUAGGGCUAGCCUCAUACAAGUCUGCCGGAGGUAGAGCACUGAAUUUCCGCGGGGGCGUCAAAGCCUACCAAAGAAUAUCAAACUCCGAAUGCCGGACAGAUGGUGUAUGGGAGUCAGACUGUACGAGAUAAGUUGGACAGUCAAAAGGGAAAGAGCCCAGACCGCCGGCUAAGGUCCCAAAGUGGGUGUUAAGUGGAAAAGGAUGUGGGAUCUCUAAGACAACCAGGAUGUUGGCUCAGAAGCAGCCAUUCAUUAAAAGAGUGCGUAACAGCUCACUGGUCGAGAGGUCCUGCGCCGAAAAUGUCCGGGGCUGAAACACCACACCGAAGCCGCGGAACUCGUAAGAGUUGGUAGAGGAGCAUUCUUAGGGGAGGGAAGCAUUACCGGAAGGGGAUGUGGACUGCUAAGAAGAGAGAAUGCCGGAAUGAGUAGCGAGAGCAAGGUGGGAAUCCUUGCGGCCGAAUAUCCAAGGUUUCCAGAGUAAAGCUGAUCUGCUCUGGGUAAGUCGGGGCCUAAGGAGAGGCAGAGAUGCGUAUCCGAUGGACAGCAGGUAAAAGAUUCCUGCACCCCUUGUUAUCAGAACUGCGGGGACACGGGAAGGGAAGCAGAGCCGGGAAUGGAAAGCCCGGUGCAAGCGAAGUAGUCGCAGGAUUGGAAAAUCCGUCCUGCAUAAGACGAAGGCGUGAUGCGGAGCGAAACAAAGUAGCGAAGCUGCGGCCCCUUCCUGUCGAGAAAAGCCGCUAUCGUGUAGCAAGGGCCCGUACCGUAAACCGACACAGGUGGAUGAGGAGAGGAUCCUAAGGCCGGCGGGAGAAGUGUUGUUAAGGAACUCGGCAAAAUGACUCCGUAACUUCGGGAGAAGGAGUGCUGCGCAAGCAGCCGCAGAGAAAUGGCCCAAGCAACUGUUUAGCAAAAACACAGGUCUAUGCGAAACCGAAAGGUGAGGUAUAUGGGCUGACGCCUGCCCGGUGCUGGAAGGUUAAGGGGAGAGGUUAGCGCAAGCGAAGCUUUGAACUUAAGCCCCAGUAAACGGCGGCCGUAACUAUAACGGUCCUAAGGUAGCGAAAUUCCUUGUCGGGUAAGUUCCGACCCGCACGAAAGGCGUAAUGAUUUGGGCACUGUCUCAACAACACACCCGGUGAAAUUGAAAUACCAGUGAAGAUGCUGGUUACCCGCGCCAGGACGGAAAGACCCCAUGGAGCUUUACUCCAGCCUGAUACUGGGAUUCGGUAUUGCAUGUACAGGAUAGGUGGGAGGCUAAGAACUUAUGGCGCCAGCCGUAAGGGAGCCAUUGUUGGGAUACCACCCCUGCAGUACUGGGUUUCUAACCUGCGCCCGUGACCCGGGCGGGGGACAAUGUCAGGCGGGGAGU
This 2222-nucleotide ribosomal RNA is filed under the name human gut metagenome. Its description in RNAcentral is "bacterial LSU rRNA". It matches the Rfam family "Bacterial large subunit ribosomal RNA", at positions 14 to 2269 of the family's 2925-position model. The record is from RNAcentral.